GCUCAGGACGAACGCUGGCGGCGUGCUUAACACAUGCAAGUCGAACGGGAGAUCACCAAUCAAUCUUUCGAGAGCGAAUGGUGAUACUCUAGUGGCGGACGGGUGAGUAACGCGUGAGCAACUUACCCUUUAGCCUGGGACAACAACGGGAAACCGUUGCUAAUCCCGGAUGAGCAUAUCGAGUAGCAUUACAAGAUAUGCAAAGGAGGCCUCUCUAAAGAAGCUUUCGCUAAAGGAUGGGCUCGCGUCCCAUUAGCUAGUUGGUGAGGUAACGGCUCACCAAUGCAGCGAUGGGUAGCCGGCCUGAGAGGGUGGACGGCCACACUGGGACUGAGACACGGCCCAGACUCCUACGGGAGGCAGCAGUGGGGAAUAUUGCGCAAUGGGGGAAACCCUGACGCAGCGACGCCGCGUGAGCGAUGAAGGCCUUCGGGUCGUAAAGCUCUGUCAUCGGGGAAGAAGUCUUAUGUACUAAUACUGCAUGAGGUGACGGUACCCGAGGAGGAAGCCACGGCUAACUACGUGCCAGCAGCCGCGGUAACACGUAGGUGGCGAGCGUUGUCCGGAAUUACUGGGCGUAAAGGGCGCGUAGGCGGUUAAGUAAGUCAGGAGUGAAAGCCCUAGGCUCAACCUGGGGACUGCUUUUGAAACUGCUUAACUUGAGAGCAGGAGAGGUAAGUGGAAUUCCUAGUGUAGCGGUGAAAUGCGUAGAUAUUAGGAGGAACACCAGUGGCGAGGGCGACUUACUGGCCUGACUCUGACGCUGAGGUGCGAAAGCGUGGGGAGCGAACAGGAUUAGAUACCCUGGUAAUCCACGCCGUAAACGAUGGGUACUAGGUGUUGGGGGGUAGAACCCUUCAGUGCUGCAGCAAACGCA
Molecule: ribosomal RNA, 877 nt
Filed under: uncultured organism
Description: bacterial SSU rRNA
Rfam family: Bacterial small subunit ribosomal RNA
Source: RNAcentral